RNAcentral lists this ribosomal RNA (809 nucleotides) under uncultured bacterium. RNAcentral describes it as "bacterial SSU rRNA". It matches the Rfam family "Bacterial small subunit ribosomal RNA", at positions 25 to 825 of the family's 1533-position model. The record is from RNAcentral.
UAAAAGUGACGCUAGCGGCAGGCUUAAUACAUGCAGUCGUGGGGCAGCAUGAAUGUAGCAAUACAUUUGAUGGCGACCGGCAAACGGGUGCGGAACACGUACACAACCUUCCUAUAAGUGGGGAAUAGCCCAGAGAAAUUUGGAUUAAUACCCCGUAACAUAACGAUGUGGCAUCACAUUGUUAUUAUAGCUUCGGCGCUUAUUGAUGGGUGUGCGGCUGAUUAGAUAGUUGGCGGGGUAACGGCCCACCAAGUCUACGAUCAGUAGCUGAUGUGAGAGCAUGAUCAGCCACACGGGCACUGAGACACGGGCCCGACUCCUACGGGAGGCAGCAGUAAGGAAUAUUGGUCAAUGGACGCAAGUCUGAACCAGCCAUGCCGCGUGAAGGAUUAAGGUCCUCUGGAUUGUAAACUUCUUUUAUCUGGGACGAAAAAAGGCGAUUCUUCGUCACUUGACGGUACCAGAUGAAUAAGCACCGGCUAACUCCGUGCCAGCAGCCGCGGUAAUACGGAGGGUGCAAGCGUUAUCCGGAUUCACUGGGUUUAAAGGGUGCGUAGGCGGGCAGGUAAGUCAGUGGUGAAAUCCUGGAGCUUAACCCCAGAACUGCCAUUGAUACUAUCUGUCUUGAAUAUUGUGGAGGUAAGCGGAAUAUGUCAUGUAGCGGUGAAAUGCUUAGAUAUGACAUAGAACACCUAUUGCGAAGGCAGCUUACUACGCAUAUAUUGACGCUGAGGCACGAAAAGCGUGGGGAUCAAACAGGAUUAGAUACCCUGGUAGUCCACGCCCUAAACGAUGGAUACUCGACAUAC